CCGAGUUUAUAACUCCCAAACCCCUGUGAACAUACCUAUCGUUGCUUCGGCGGAUCCGCCCCGGCGCCCUCGGGCCCGGAUCAGGCGCCCGCCGGAGACCCCAAACUCUUGUAUUUCUUUAGUAUCUUCUGAGUAAACAAGCAAAUAAAUUA
This 152-nucleotide unclassified non-coding RNA is filed under the name soil metagenome. RNAcentral's name for it is "partial internal transcribed spacer 1". The record is from RNAcentral.